CACAGGUCUGUGCGAAGUCGUAAGACGACGUAUACGGACUGACGCCUGCCCGGUGCCGGAAGGUUAAGGGGUGGGGUUAGCGCAAGCGAAGCUCUAAACCGAAGCCCCGGUAAACGGCGGCCGUAACAAUAACGGUCCUAAGGUAGCGAAAUUCCUUGUCGGGUAAGUUCCGACCUGCACGAAUGGCGUAACGAUCUCCACGCUGUCUCAACCAGAGACUCAGUGAAAUUGAUGUGGCGGUGAAAAUGCCGUCUACCCGCGGAAAGACGGAAAAGACCCCUGUGCACCUUUACUAUAGCUUGACAUUGGAGCUUGGACAAUCGUGUGUAGGAUAGGUGGGAGACUGUGAAACCGGCGCGCUAGCGUUGGCGGAGUCAACCUUGAAAUACCACCCUCGGUUGUUUAAGCUUCUAACCUGGACCGUCAUCCGGUUCGGGGACAUUGUCUGGUGGGUAGUUUGACUGGGGCGGUCGCCUCCCAAAGAGUAACGGAGGC
This 495-nucleotide ribosomal RNA is filed under the name uncultured bacterium. Its description in RNAcentral is "bacterial LSU rRNA". It matches the Rfam family "Bacterial large subunit ribosomal RNA", at positions 1814 to 2307 of the family's 2925-position model. The record is from RNAcentral.